Molecule: ribosomal RNA, 588 nt
Filed under: uncultured bacterium
Lineage: Bacteria
Description: partial 16S ribosomal RNA
Rfam family: Bacterial small subunit ribosomal RNA
Source: RNAcentral
UGGGGAAUUUUGGACAAUGGGCGAAAGCCUGAUCCAGCAAUGCCGCGUGUGUGAAGAAGGCCUUCGGGUUGUAAAGCACUUUUGUCCGGAAAGAAAUCCUUGGCUCUAAUACAGUCGGGGGAUGACGGUACCGGAAGAAUAAGCACCGGCUAACUACGUGCCAGCAGCCGCGGUAAUACGUAGGGUGCAAGCGUUAAUCGGAAUUACUGGGCGUAAAGCGUGCGCAGGCGGUUUGCUAAGACCGAUGUGAAAAUCCCCGGGCUCAACCUGGGAACUGCAUUGGUGACUGGCAGGCUAGAGUAUGGCAGGAGGGGGGUAGAAUUCCACGUGUAGCAGUGAAAUGCGUAGAGAUGUGGAGGAAUACCGAUGGCGAAGGCAGCCCCCUGGGCCAAUACUGACGCUCAUGCACGAAAGCGUGGGGAGCAAACAGGAUUAGAUAACCCUGGUAGUCCACGCCCUAAACGAUGUCAACUAGUUGUUGGGGAUUCAUUUCCUUAGUAACGUAGCUAACGCGUGAAGUUGACCGCCUGGGGAGUACGGUCGCAAGAUUAAAACUUAAAUGAAUUGACGGGGUCAUAGCUGUUUCCU